Rhinichthys klamathensis goyatoka is the source of this 1411-nucleotide RNA transcript. It is a transcript of the gene named ubiquitin-conjugating enzyme E2, J1, with no coding region annotated. The transcript is spliced from 9 exons. Lineage: Eukaryota; Metazoa; Chordata; Actinopteri; Cypriniformes; Leuciscidae. The record is from RefSeq and is a predicted model, not a curated record.
UUCAAACGCUAAUUUUACUUCCUGUUUUCAUUUUUUUAUGUCCUGUGACAUCUGAGAAAAUUCAUCUCGAAAGUAGCAAGAAACUUCAGUGCUGCCACGUCAGGAUUACAGCUCAAGAUAAACACCUGGCCGAAAUCCCAAGAGACACACAUACACACACAAACACACACCAAAUAACCUAAACGGAAAAUACCAGCCUAGCGCGAGGUUUGUUCCGUCAUGGAGAGCAAAUAUAACUUGAAGAGUCCAGCUGUGAAGAGGUUGAUGAAAGAGGCCGCUGAACUCCGGGACCCGACCCAGCAUUAUCAUGCUCAGCCACUGGAGGAUAACCUGUUUGAGUGGCACUUCUCCGUCAGAGGACCUCCAGACUCUGAUUUCGAUGGUGGAGUUUAUCACGGUCGGAUCGUGCUGCCCCCCGAAUACCCCAUGAAGCCCCCCAGCAUCAUUCUGCUCACCGCCAAUGGGAGGUUUGAGGUUGGGAAGAAGAUCUGUCUGAGUAUUUCCGGUCACCAUCCAGAGACGUGGCAGCCGUCAUGGAGUAUUCGGACAGCUUUAAUAGCGAUCAUUGGAUUCAUGCCGACUAAAGGGGAAGGAGCGAUAGGAUCUCUGGACUACACUCCUGAGGAGAGAAGAGCUCUCGCUAAAAAGUCUCAGGAUUUCUGCUGUGAAGGUUGCGGCAGCUGCAUGCGCUCGGCUCUGCUAGCGCUCUCUCCGGACGGCGACCUUCGACCUGUCGACCCUCAGGCACACAGACUGGCCCAGCAGAUCAGCUUCAAGGCGGAGUCGAGCUCGUCGGCUGCGGACAGUGGCAGUUCAGCGGCAGCGGCGGCUCUCAGUGACAGUGAGAGUUCAUCUACACCAGAGAGAGACACAGAAGACACGUCUUCAGCUGAGCAGACUGAAUCCUCAUUCGUGGCUGCUCAGACAUCAAGCGAGGGUCCAUCCGUUUCAGCGGCUCCGAGUCCUCGUCAGCGGCGCUCGCAGACCCAGAGCCCGAGAUACCCCACGUUCACGGCCUCCCCCGCCCCCCCGCACCCGCAGCAGGACCCCAGUCACACGGGCUGCGCCGUCCUCAUAGUGCUCCUCACACUCGCGCUCGCGGCGCUCAUUUUCCGCAGGAUCUACUUGGCCCACGAGUACAAGUUUGAUUACGAGCUGUGAACUCUUUCUGUCCUGUCCUCGUCCAGAUCCAACAGACGGGGUGUGUGUGUCAAUGUCAAGAACAUGUCAAUGGAAGUUUGUUUUCGCCACAGAAUAAAAAAGAUGAUUGCAAUCUCAAAAUUCAAAUAUUUUUUCUAGGAAUUGCUAGUUUAUAUCUCGCAAUUCUAAACAAGAAGGUCAGAAUUGCGAGAUAUAAACUCAAUAUUAUUUUUAUUUCUCCGAAUUGUGAGAUAUAAGUCAGAAUUGUGAG